UGACAAGAAUGACAGCACAACCACAGCAAUUACUAAUUUAGAGGCUUCUUUUGGAAGUUCGAGCCCAGUUGGGUCUUUGUCUUCUGAGGAUCAUGAUUUUGACCCCAC
RNAcentral lists this small RNA (108 nucleotides) under Pongo abelii (Sumatran orangutan). RNAcentral describes it as "processed transcript". Lineage: Eukaryota; Metazoa; Chordata; Mammalia; Primates; Hominidae. The record is from RNAcentral.